Molecule: long non-coding RNA, 2398 nt
Organism: Ictalurus punctatus (channel catfish)
Lineage: Eukaryota; Metazoa; Chordata; Actinopteri; Siluriformes; Ictaluridae
Source: Ensembl
UUCCUAUUGAAUUACUGAAUAUGAUGAAUAUUAUUGAAUUUACUUGAAAUAUUAAGAAAUAAAUGUCCUCAGAUCUGUAAAUGUAGUUCAUUUUUACACUUUUUCAGGUUUUCUAUCUUUGGUAUGGCCUUCCAUUAAUAAUGUUUCCUCUAGCUAAUCAAUGCUGCACCAAAAUCCAGCUCUGGACCUAUAAAAUCAAGCUUAAUGUCAGCAAAUAUAAUAAUAUUUUCUUUAUGACAUCACCCGCUCUUAAUUAUGGCAAAUUACAGCUUUUUAAAAAAAAGUUUUAAUAUAUACAGUGUGUUAAAGAACCACAGCAGAAUCUCAGCAGUGACUCACUGAAGGUGGACUAGUCUCAUCACACACUCAUCUCUCAGCAGGUAAUUUUCCUCUCUCGUCUCGUCAAGAGGAUCUACUGCGUGUCUUGAUUUCUUAUCAAUCAGAAAGUGAACCUGUGAAGGAGUGUGUGUGUGUGUGUGUGUGUGUGUGUGUGUGUGUGUGUGUGUGUGUGUGUGUGUGUGUGUGUGAAUAUUAGGAGCAUCCCUUUUUUUCUUUAAUACUAGGGUUUAUCUAUAAUCAAUCUGCUCUGAUUGCCUCAGAUGGAAAUGACAAGCUUCCAUCAGUGUUGGAGAAAAAAGGGAGGGAAAAAUCCCAUCCUCAUGCUCAUCUCUCAUCUCUCUGUUCUUUAAUUUCAUCCAGUCAUCAGUGUACAUUAAACAGGAUAAAAACGUUUUGGAGUGUGUGUGUUUCCGUUUCACAAAGCCAGACAGGAACGAGCUAGAGGAGGGGAAACGCUGACGACGCUGACUGCAGCUAUUAUUGCUGAAUAACGUUUGAAGAUUACAGAGAAGAGUUACACACUUCAAACACAGACAGUGAGUGUGUGAGCUCUUAAUAUACUCACUGGGAUGGAGCUACACACACAUGCACAUACACACACACAUACACAUACAUGCCAUUCACAUGGCAUUAUAUGGGACCAUGCAUAGCACAAGUUACUAAAUUAUCAUGAUGCUGUUCUUAAAAAAAUACAAAUUAAUAGAAUGUUAAUAUCUGCAAAAUAAUUGUCUUUAUGCCACAUUUCCAAACACAAAGGCAGACUAUUUUCUAAAUAAAAUGCAAGGCAGUCACCUACUUAAUUUUUCAUGAAUGAAGAGCAAAAAUGUUAUAACAUUUACUGCUAAAUUAUCUACAAUAAGAAUAUCCUGAAUAUCGCUAUUGUACAACCGAUUAUCAGCCCACUCCCAAUCCUGAGCCACUUCCCUUUUAGAGACAUAAAACAAAAAGUGCUGUGUCGCCUUAUAGCCACAAUUUCCGUCACUUCACUUCAACAGAAUCACACAAAGCAUUUUCAAAAAUAAUAUUAAAAAUGAUAGUUGUUAUAUUAUGAAUCAAUUGUGACGCUACAAUAGAUUUCAAUUCCUUCUAAUAAAUAAAUCUGUAGAUUUACCCAAAACAAAAAAAAACAAUGCCCCCUAUUUUCCCUAAAAAUACAAAAAUGUUAUAAUAUUCACUACUAAAUUAUCUACUAUAACAAUAUUGUGAAUAUCGGGAUAUAUUGUAUAACCUGUAAUUGGCCCAAAACCAAUCUAGUACAACUUCCUUUUUAGAUGCAUAAAUACAAAAUAAGAGCCAUGUCACAUUAUAACUACAAAAUUUCCUUCACUUCACUUCAACACUAACACACACAAAAUGUCUGUAAUUCAGUGACAGCUUUAAAGCCUUGCUAUAAUAUGUGUAGAUUUCUGUCAAAAUGUCAUUUUGUCAAAAGGGGAGAAAAGAAAGCAUAUGUGUGUAUGUUUCGGUGCAAACACAGCAGCAGGGUGUAUGUGUAUGUGUGUGUGAAACUGUAGCCAGCUAAAAUAAGGCCUUUUUUGGGGCUCAGAGAUAAGAGAUGGAAAUUGCCACUGGAGAAAAUGAGGGUUAUUCAGCACUCCGAUAAGCACCUAUUUGCUUUUGGUCAUAAUGCCUUCUCACACUUUAUAAAUCAUCAUUUAAUUACGCAGACGAGCGGCUGAUUGUCGGCCUGGCUGGCCCGCCGGCGCACAGCCACGCACAAAGAGGGAAAUUAUACGUGUCCUUGGCAUUUCAAUCAUCAUCACUAAUGCAUUAGCGUUCAAUUACAUCAGACACUUUCAGCAAGUGCAAAAAAAUCUAAAGACAAAAAAAGGGAGUGAAGAGGGAAAAGAGGAUGGGGAGAAAAAUUUACGUUGUUUAUAAUAUAACGCGUAUAUUUUUGUCCCCCUCCUCGUUUCCCUGUAUAUAACUGAGGAGCUAUAAUUUACUAAAUAAAUCAUUAUCAAAAGAUACAUGUAUUUAAAAUAUUCUCUAUUUUGAUUUUUUUAAUCAUAUAAUGAUUAUAGAAUAAUAUCAUUAUUAUAUUAUAUAGUGAUAUAAG